This is a small nuclear RNA of Apodemus sylvaticus (European woodmouse), 107 nucleotides long. Lineage: Eukaryota; Metazoa; Chordata; Mammalia; Rodentia; Muridae. The record is from RefSeq and is a predicted model, not a curated record.
GUGCUCACUUUGGAAGCACAUAUACUAAAAUUUAAAUGAUUCAGAGAAGAUUAACAUUGCCUCUGUGUAAGGAUGAAAUACAAAUUCAUCAAGUCUUCCACAUUUUU